UACGGGGGGGGGCAAGCGUUGUUCGGAAUUACUGGGCGUAAAGGGCUCGUAGGCGGCCAACUAAGUCAGACGUGAAAUCCCCAGGCUCAACCUGGGAACUGCGUCCGAUACUGGAUGGCUUGAAUCCGGGAGAGGGAUGCAGAAUUCCAGGUGUAGCGGUGAAAUGCGUAGAUAUCUGGAGGAAUACCGGUGGCGAAGGCGGCAUCCUGGACCGGCAUUGACGCUGAGGAGCGAAAGCCAGGGGAGCAAACGGG
Molecule: ribosomal RNA, 254 nt
Filed under: uncultured bacterium
Lineage: Bacteria
Description: partial 16S ribosomal RNA
Rfam family: Bacterial small subunit ribosomal RNA
Source: RNAcentral